RNAcentral lists this ribosomal RNA (253 nucleotides) under uncultured bacterium. RNAcentral describes it as "partial 16S ribosomal RNA". It matches the Rfam family "Bacterial small subunit ribosomal RNA", at positions 524 to 776 of the family's 1533-position model. The record is from RNAcentral.
UACAUGGGGUGCAAACGUUGCUCGGAAUCAUUGGGCGUAAAGCGCGCGUAGGCGGUUACUCAAGUCGGAUGUGAAAGCCCUCGGCUUAACUGAGGAAGUGCACCCGAAACUGAGUAGCUAGAGUACUAAAGAGGGUCGCGGAAUUCCCGGUGUAGAGGUGAAAUUCGUAGAUAUCGGGAGGAACACCGGUGGCGAAGGCGGCGACCUGGGUAGAUACUGACGCUGAGGCGCGAAAGCGUGGGGAGCAAACAGG